This 481-nucleotide ribosomal RNA is filed under the name uncultured bacterium. Its description in RNAcentral is "partial 16S ribosomal RNA". It matches the Rfam family "Bacterial small subunit ribosomal RNA", at positions 28 to 507 of the family's 1533-position model. The record is from RNAcentral.
GAUGAACGCUGGCGGCGUGCUUAACACAUGCAAGUCGAACGAAGCACUUUAUUUGAUUUCCUUCGGGACUUAUUAUUUUGUGACUGAGUGGCGGACGGGUGAGUAACUCGUGGUUAACCUGCCUUGUACAGGGGGAUAACAGUUGGAAACGGCUGCUAAUACCGCAUAAGCGCACAGCAUCGCAUGAUGCAGUGUGAAAAACUCCGGUGGUAUAAGAUGGACCCGCGUUGGAUUAGCUAGUUGGUGAGGUAACGGCCCACCAAGGCGACGAUCCAUAGCCGACCAGAGAGGGUGACCGGCGACAUUGGCACUGAGACACGGCCCAAACUCCUACGGGAGGGAGCAGAGGGUAAUAUUGCACAAUGGGCGAAAGCCUGAUGCAGCGACGCCGCGUGAGCGAAGAAGUAUUUCGGGAUGUAAAGCUCUAUCAGCAGGGAAGAUAAUGACGGUACCUGACGAAGAAGCACCGGCUAAAUACGUG